RNAcentral lists this ribosomal RNA (253 nucleotides) under uncultured bacterium. Its description in RNAcentral is "partial 16S ribosomal RNA". It matches the Rfam family "Bacterial small subunit ribosomal RNA", at positions 524 to 776 of the family's 1533-position model. The record is from RNAcentral.
UACAGAGGUCCCAAGCGUUGUUCGGAUUCAUUGGGCGUAAAGGGUGCGUAGGUGGCGUCGUAAGUCGGGUGUGAAAUCUCGGGGCUUAACUCCGAAACUGCAUUCGAUACUGCGGUGCUUGAGGACUGGAGAGGAGACUGGAAUUUACGGUGUAGCAGUGAAAUGCGUAGAUAUCGGGAGGAACACCAGUGGCGAAGGCGAGUCCCUGGACAAUUCCUGACGCUGAGGCACGAAAGCCAGGGGAGCAAACAGG